Molecule: ribosomal RNA, 775 nt
Filed under: uncultured bacterium
Lineage: Bacteria
Description: bacterial SSU rRNA
Rfam family: Bacterial small subunit ribosomal RNA
Source: RNAcentral
AGAGUUUGAUCCUGGCUCAGGAUGAACGCUGGCGGCGUGCCUAACACAUGCAAGUCGAACGGAAUUUACAUGAAGCCUAGCGAUUGUAAAUUUAGUGGCGGACGGGUGAGUAACGCGUGGGUAACCUGCCUUGUACUGGGGGACAACAGUUGGAAACGGCUGCUAAAACCGCAUAAGCGCACAGUAUCGCAUGAUACAGUGUGAAAAACUCCGGUGGUAUGAGAUGGACCCGCGUCUGAUUAGCUAGUUGGUGAGGUAACGGCCCACCAAGGCAACGAUCAGUAGCCGGCCUGAGAGGGUGAACGGCCACAUUGGGACUGAGACACGGCCCAAACUCCUACGGGAGGCAGCAGUGGGGAAUAUUGCACAAUGGGGGAAACCCUGAUGCAGCGACGCCGCGUGAGUGAUGAAGUAUUUCGGUAUGUAAAGCUCUAUCAGCAGGGAAGAUAAUGACAGUACCUGACUAAGAAGCACCGGCUAAAUACGUGCCAGCAGCCGCGGUAAUACGUAUGGUGCAAGCGUUAUCCGGAUUUACUGGGUGUAAAGGGUGCGUAGGUGGUGAGACAAGUCUGAAGUGAAAAUCCGGGGCUUAACCCCGGAACUGCUUUGGAAACUGCCUGACUAGAGUACAGGAGAGGUAAGUGGAAUUCCUAGUGUAGCGGUGAAAUGCGUAGAUAUUAGGAGGAACACCAGUGGCGAAGGCGACUUACUGGACUGCUACUGACGCUGAGGCUCGAAAGUGUGGGGAGCAAACAGGAUUAGAUACCCUGGUAGU